This 69-nucleotide transfer RNA is filed under the name Marmota monax (woodchuck). RNAcentral describes it as "tRNA.Ile". It matches the Rfam family "tRNA". From Rfam's summary of the family: Transfer RNA (tRNA) molecules are approximately 80 nucleotides in length. Lineage: Eukaryota; Metazoa; Chordata; Mammalia; Rodentia; Sciuridae. The record is from RNAcentral.
GGGGUUGUAGCUCAGUGGUAGAGCACUUGCUUAAUGUGUGAGGCACUGGGUUUAAUCCUCAGCACCACA